UGGGGAAUUGUUCGCAAUGGGCGCAAGCCUGAACCAGCAACGCCGCGUGCAGGAUGACGGCCUUCGGGUUGUAAACUGCUUUUGUCGGGGACGAGAGAGGACGGUACCCGGCGAAUAAGUCACGGCUAACUACGUGCCAGCAGCCGCGGUAACACGUAGGUGGCGAGCGUUAUCCGGAUUUACUGGGCGUAAAGCGUGUGCAGACGGACUAGCAAGUGGUGUAUGAAAUCGCGGUGCUUAACACAGCGAGGUUAUGCCAGACUGCUGGACUAGAGUGCGAGAGAGGGAUGUGGAAUUCCGGGUGUAGCGGUGAAAUGCGUAGAUAUCCGGAGGAACACCGGUGGCGAAGGCGGCUUCCUGGACCGAUACUGACGCUGAGGCGCGAAAGCUAGGGGAGCAAACGGGAUUAGAUACCCACGUAGUCCCUGAGCGGGCUGGCAAGGCGCAU
This 448-nucleotide ribosomal RNA is filed under the name uncultured bacterium. RNAcentral's name for it is "bacterial SSU rRNA". It matches the Rfam family "Bacterial small subunit ribosomal RNA", at positions 355 to 825 of the family's 1533-position model. The record is from RNAcentral.